Helianthus annuus (common sunflower) is the source of this 1124-nucleotide long non-coding RNA. RefSeq lists it as uncharacterized. Lineage: Eukaryota; Viridiplantae; Streptophyta; Magnoliopsida; Asterales; Asteraceae. The record is from RefSeq and is a predicted model, not a curated record. The transcript is spliced from 4 exons.
GAGGUUUUAUUCUGCCGGCAGACAAUUAGCUAGAUGGCCGCAGUAUCGUCGUUGUUUGAUGAAAUCUAGCCCACUGAUAUCGCAAAAUCAUCUGGUGUUGAAGAAACAUCGUUGACUGCUUAUAGGAUUUCGGAGGACGAUCUCAUCUCAGUCUUAUGGAGUUGCUGGAAGGUGUUGAUCGUCAAUUCAAAAAACUUUGGUGGCUUCUUAAGAGAUCUAUGAUGGAUUGUUUGAAAAUUUACACUCUUUUGUGAAAAGAUAUAUGGCAGGUAACGAAACUGAGUCAUGCCAUUAUAUGUGAACGAUCAGAGCUUUGAGACAAAAGUCAAUAAUAAACAAAGUACUGUAGUCAAACUAGCUUUACACUCAUCGGUCACAUUAGAAAGCAAUUGAGACAAAAGCUCUUGCAGCCUCCACCCUCUGAAAAUCUUUUUUCCAGGAAGAGACUUUUUGAUUCUUUUUUUGGAUACAUUGACCAGUUUUGGUGUUCACCGCUUCUAUAGAACUUCCCAUAGUAAUACCAUAUAACAUUUGGCAUAUCUUUAUCCCCCAUGAACUUGUUCACAACGCGAAGAUUCUUGCCAAAUAUAUAUAAACCAAUAAUAAAACUAUCAUGUUCAAUCGCGCUCCAACAUUCUUCACUUGAUGAACACGGAACUGAAACCAAACCAUUGUUUGUUUCACAACCUACAUUACAAAACUCACCCUUUCUCACCCUUUCUCCCCAUUUCCCACCAAACCCUUCACCUUUCUCACGGAUUCUCCCCCAAAUCGGUUCAUUCUCAUCAAUUUCACCAAAUUCUCCUAUAAAUCGAUAAAUCCGCCCACCCACCACAUCUUCGAUCAAGACGAAGUCACUUCGAGUUGAAAUGAAGCCACAGAUCAAGACGACGGACACGAAGACAAUGGCGGUGAUGAUAACAUGAUGUAGUUUUACACGUUUUAUGCAAUGUUAUGAUGUUAAUAUGUGAAUUAAAUGAAUAACUUUUAAGUAGGUUUAGGAUGUUUAUAUAAUUAUUAUGUUUAUGUAGUUUGUUUGUGAGUUGAGAAGAAAAAACUGGAAAUUGGCAGGUUUUGUGUAUCGUUGAAAACCGGAAAUUAUUUUAAAUGCAAAAAAAAAAAAA